GCGUCUGUAGUGUAACGGUUAUCAUCAUUGCCUGUAAAGCAAUAGACCCGGGUUCGACUCCCGGCGGACGCA
RNAcentral lists this transfer RNA (72 nucleotides) under Dactylellina haptotyla CBS 200.50. RNAcentral describes it as "tRNA-Tyr (GTA) (tRNA-Tyr-GTA-2-1, tRNA-Tyr-GTA-2-2)". It matches the Rfam family "tRNA". Rfam says of the family: Transfer RNA (tRNA) molecules are approximately 80 nucleotides in length. Their secondary structure includes four short double-helical elements and three loops (D, anti-codon, and T loops). Further hydrogen bonds mediate the characteristic L-shaped molecular structure. tRNAs have two regions of fundamental functional importance: the anti-codon, which is responsible for specific mRNA codon recognition, and the 3' end, to which the tRNAs corresponding amino acid is attached (by aminoacyl-tRNA synthetases). tRNAs cope with the degeneracy of the genetic code in two manners: having more than one tRNA (with a specific anti-codon) for a particular amino acid; and 'wobble' base-pairing, i.e. permitting non-standard base-pairing at the 3rd anti-codon position. The record is from RNAcentral. Lineage: Eukaryota; Fungi; Ascomycota; Orbiliomycetes; Orbiliales; Orbiliaceae.